UUGCCCUAGUAACGGCGAGUGAAGCGGCAACAGCUCAAAUUUGAAAUCUGGCUCUUUCAGAGUCCGAGUUGUAAUUUGCAGAGGGCGCUUUGGCGUUGGUAGCGGUCCAAGUUCUUUGGAACAGGACGUCACAGAGGGUGAGAAUCCCGUACGUGGUCGCUAACCUUCGCCGUGUAAAGCCCCUUCGACGAGUCGAGUUGUUUGGGAAUGCAGCUCUAAAUGGGAGGUAAAUUUCUUCUAAAGCUAAAUACUGGCCAGAGACCGAUAGCGCACAAGUAGAGUGAUCGAAAGAUGAAAAGCACUUUGGAAAGAGAGUCAAAUAGCACGUGAAAUUGUUGAAAGGGAAGCGCUUGCAGCCAGACUUGCCUGUAGUUGCUUAUCCGGACUUUUGUCCGGUGCACUCUUCUGCAGGCAGGCCAGCAUCAGUUUGGGCGGUUGGAUAAAGGUCUCUAUCACGUACCUCCCUUCGGGGUUGGCCUUAUAGGGGAGACGUCAUGCAACCAGCCUGGACUGAGGUCCGCGCAUCUGCUAGGAUGCUGGCGUAAUGGCUGUAAGCGGCCCGUCUUGAAACACGGACCAAGGAGUCUAACAUCUAUGCGAGUGUUUGGGUGUCAAGCCCAGACGCGUAAUGAAAGUGAACGGAGGUGGGAACCUUUUAGGUGCACCAUCGACCGAUCCUGAUGUCUUCGGAUGGAUUUGAGUAAGAGCAUGGCUGUUGGGACCCGAAAGAUGGUGAACUAUGCUUGAAUAGGGUGAAGCCAGAGGAAACUCUGGUGGAGGCUCGCAGCGG
This 790-nucleotide ribosomal RNA is filed under the name Wojnowiciella cissampeli. Its description in RNAcentral is "eukaryotic LSU rRNA". It matches the Rfam family "Eukaryotic large subunit ribosomal RNA", at positions 75 to 883 of the family's 3401-position model. Lineage: Eukaryota; Fungi; Ascomycota; Dothideomycetes; Pleosporales; Phaeosphaeriaceae. The record is from RNAcentral.